CACGCCGUAAACGAUGAAUACUAGGUGUAGGAGGUAUCGACUCCUCCUGUGCCGCAGCUAACGCAAUAAGUAUUCCACCUGGGGAGUACGGCCGCAAGGUUGAAACUCAAAGGAAUUGAC
Molecule: ribosomal RNA, 120 nt
Filed under: uncultured bacterium
Lineage: Bacteria
Description: partial 16S ribosomal RNA
Rfam family: Bacterial small subunit ribosomal RNA
Source: RNAcentral